GCCCCGAUAGCUCAACUGGACAGAGCAUCUGCCUUCUAAGCAGGAGGUUGCUGGUUCGAGUCCAGCUCGGGGUNCCA
This 77-nucleotide transfer RNA is filed under the name Candidatus Pacearchaeota archaeon. Its description in RNAcentral is "tRNA-Arg". It matches the Rfam family "tRNA". Rfam says of the family: Transfer RNA (tRNA) molecules are approximately 80 nucleotides in length. Lineage: Archaea; Nanobdellati. The record is from RNAcentral.